AGGUUUUGUGUUCAGUCAGACGGCUCUCGUGUCCACAAGAUGCUCUCCACUGUCAACCAGACGGUCCUGGAACAUAAGCAGGCGCACAUGAAUCCACCUGCAGGACGGUGGGGAAGAUCAGCAAAUUGAGGUCAGGAGACUUAAAGCUGAGCUUGAUGAGAGGAGGAUUGAAGAGGAGGAGAUCCAGCUACUGUAUAUCGACCAGGCCUCAGUGACACAACAGCCGCUGGAAACCUGCUCAGUGCACUGAGGAGUUCUGAUUAUCAGUCAAGCAGAGAGCCAACAGACGAGGAGAAGACCGUCUGCUGAUGACCUCCCCGAG
Plectropomus leopardus (leopard coralgrouper) is the source of this 322-nucleotide non-coding RNA. Lineage: Eukaryota; Metazoa; Chordata; Actinopteri; Perciformes; Serranidae. The record is from RefSeq and is a predicted model, not a curated record.